GGUAAUUCUCUUCAUUGUUUACUCACUCACGUUUCAUCUGUUACCAAAGUGUUCACAAGGUUGUCCAUCACAAAGAAUGCUAGCUAUCGACUUAUAUACCUACAGAUGGCUAUUUCUAGAAACUGUACAUUAAUAGCAAAAUUACUAUGAAAAGGAAAUUAGGACUCUCUCUUGGAAAGUGUGUCCCAACUAUUCCGAGCGCUGUGGCAGGUGUCAUCGUACAAUAAGCAAUGUGCUUGUCCCACAAUGAAGAAGAGUUCCAAAAAGCGCAAAGCAUUCUGAACUGCGGGAGAAGAUGAAGCAGACAAAAAUAUGUAAAAUCUAGUGACUUGGUUCUCGCUUUAAUAUGCAGUAAAUUUGUUUCCAAAUUU
Long non-coding RNA from Photinus pyralis (common eastern firefly), 371 nucleotides. RefSeq lists it as uncharacterized. NCBI's taxonomy places the organism in Eukaryota, Metazoa, Arthropoda, Insecta, Coleoptera, Lampyridae. The transcript is spliced from 2 exons. The record is from RefSeq and is a predicted model, not a curated record.